AUUGAACGCUGGCGGCAGGCCUAACACAUGCAAGUCGAGCGGAUGAAGGGAGCUUGCUCCUGGAUUCAGCGGCGGACGGGUGAGUAAUGCCUAGGAAUCUGCCUGGUAGUGGGGGAUAACGUCCGGAAACGGGCGCUAAUACCGCAUACGUCCUGAGGGAGAAAGUGGGGGAUCUUCGGACCUCACGCUAUCAGAUGAGCCUAGGUCGGAUUAGCUAGUUGGUGGGGUAAAGGCCUACCAAGGCGACGAUCCGUAACUGGUCUGAGAGGAUGAUCAGUCCAACUAGAACUGAGACACGGUCCCGACUCCUACGGGAGGCAGCAGUGGGGAAUAUUGGACAAUGGGCGAAAGCCUGAUCCAGCCAUGCCGCGUGUGUGAAGAAGGUCUUCGGAUUGUAAAGCACUUUAAGUUGGGAGGAAGGGCAGUAAGUUAAUACCUUGCUGUUUUGACGUUACCAACAGAAUAAGCACCGGCUAACUUCGUG
RNAcentral lists this ribosomal RNA (484 nucleotides) under uncultured bacterium. RNAcentral describes it as "partial 16S ribosomal RNA". It matches the Rfam family "Bacterial small subunit ribosomal RNA", at positions 30 to 507 of the family's 1533-position model. The record is from RNAcentral.